Molecule: long non-coding RNA, 319 nt
Organism: Drosophila guanche
Lineage: Eukaryota; Metazoa; Arthropoda; Insecta; Diptera; Drosophilidae
Exons: 2
Source: RefSeq, a predicted model, not a curated record
GCCACUGCCAGUAGUUGGUGUCGUCGACGUCUGAGCGAGCUGAAACAAAAGGCUGCCAGCCAUCAGCAACAUAAACAUAAACUCAUGGCGUUGGCGUUGGCGUUUGUUGGCGGCGCGUGUUCCACAUACACAGAUUUACGAAUGUGAAUGGGAAUGAGAACUGGGAGGAGGCAUCCCAAACCAUGCUGCCACCUGCUGAAGUCGCCAAAGGAAGCGCUCGACGACGUCAUCGUUUCUUAAUUGCCCCAUAAACCGAACUCAUCUCAACUCAACUCAGUGUAGCAAUUUGUGUGCAUAAAUUUAGAAAUUGAUGAAUUUA